Dunckerocampus dactyliophorus (ringed pipefish) is the source of this 1834-nucleotide long non-coding RNA. RefSeq lists it as uncharacterized. The transcript has 3 exons. The record is from RefSeq and is a predicted model, not a curated record. NCBI's taxonomy places the organism in Eukaryota, Metazoa, Chordata, Actinopteri, Syngnathiformes, Syngnathidae.
AAGUAGUGACGUAAACGGCUGAAGCGGGAGCUAAUAUCACGUUUUGCGAUCUCUGACACAUCUUAAAUAAGUUUGAUCAAGUGUAUAAUUACUACAUCUUCUGUUUGGACUGCUCAUACCGCCAACCAUCAACUAUCACCAACAGGUUUCAAAAUGCUGGACUGAAUGAAGAGGAUAGCUCAAGCUAAAAUAGCUAAUUUGCUUGAGACAGUGAAGAACAACUAAAGAGAGAGAGAGAGACUGACCGUGCUGAAGGAAUUAUGAAGCUGAUCAAUCGUGAAGCUUGCUAAGAGUACUUGAGUGGUUUUAGUUCCGAGGAGGAGGAGGACGGCGGCGAUGAAUGACUUUUCUGCCCGACAGGAUGUACUGAAGGCUUACGUUGAUGGUGUUGCACAGGGGACAGGUCUCUUCAGCGCCAUAUUGGUGGAGGUUUCGUGGACAAGAUCAGACCACGACAUGGGCCUAUCUGUGACUCCUUCCCAUGAAGUCCAACCUCCUUGCCGGCUCUGAGACACUGCCUUGAUGUUCAGGCGUUCCUGCUUGGCCCUUAGCACCUCUGCCACCAGCAUGGCUCUCUGCUGUUCCCUGGAGGCCUUUGACUAGAACACAGGUGUCUUGCCUCUUCCGAGACCUGCUGGACUCUGCCAGCUGACUGCCUUGUCAACUUCCUCCUGGGCUUUCCACUUCCUCCCCGUUCUCACUUGGGUUCCUGCUGCAUUCACCAGCUGGCCAGUGGAUUCUCUGAGCUCCAGUACAAGUCGGGCCUUCUCCUGCUUGUAACCCAUGCUGAUGGAACGCAGUGGCAGCUGGAGCACAAUUAAACACAAGACGUGUGGUCCCUGGUCCCAUAUGCCAUAAGUGCCAGCGAGGCAGACAAGGCGAUUCCGGUGCAUGCUUAUCAAAAUAAAGCACUGAGAAACAAUUUUAUGAUAUUUAAAAUAGUUUUUAACUAAUUGUGGUCAAUAUGUGCGUAAAUAAUAAGCUAUAUAUGUAUCUAUAUAGUAUAUAUUUAUAUCCAUUCAUACAAUAUAUUACUUAAAAUUCUUUUCAAGCUUAAAAAAACCCAAAUUUUUAAGGUGUGGAGGCUUUUAUUUUGUAGUGGCGCACCGCCACGAACAAUUACAUGUAGCGGAAACCCUUAAUAUGUUUUAACAAGGAUACAAAAACGCUACAGUGCAGCGGAACGGCGCCAGGAUGCCAAAGAGGCACCGUCAGAGGAGUGUGAGUCACUUCAUAAGUUCUUGUGUCCAACCUUGUAGGUUAAUUAUUAAAAUUCAAAAAAAGGUUUGAACUUUUUUUGAGUAUUUAAACAAGAGAGAAAUGUGAGAAAAUGUUCAUGCCUGUCUGUGAAAAGUGUAUACAGUGUAUGGUGAGGGGUUUUACAGCCUUAUAACAUAUAUAAUAAUUCUAAAAAAAUAAAGUUGGCUAUUUUGGGAACCUAGCCCCUGCGAUAAAUGGGAGAACAUUGUAAUUCUCUUUUACCGUUUGCGGAUAACCAUUAACGUAUAACCAGUAGAGUGGGGCUUUUCUCUAUGCAGCUGAAGUGGGUUAAGGAGGGGGGGCAGGUGCCGACCAUCGACCACUGACCAUUUGCAACAGAGUUGGCGGAGGGAGCUGCAGAAUCUGAGCAUUUCAGCCAAAGGGAGAAGAAUGCAGAUUUACCAUGUUCACACAACUUUGAGUUUGUUUGUUUUUAAAGAAACGUACUAUAGCGUCCCACUGGGAUCCAGUGUAAUUUUUCAUCCAUCCAUCCAUCCAUUUUCUGUAUCACUUGCCCUCAGUGGGGUCACGAGUAUGCUGGAGAAAACCCAUGCAAUGGGAAAACAUGCAAGCU